CAUCUUUAAGGAUAAAACUGUGGGUUAAAAAUAUAAAAACUUCAAUCAACCCAACAUUUAUUGGCUAUACUACAAUCACAGAAUAAAAGGGUAGCAGCUGUUUCUUCAACAAGAACACAAAAGAAGCACAUCAAAAUAUUUCCAGAUAGAUUGUUGCGCUUGUUAUGACGUCAUAGGUCACAUGAUAACGUCAUCAUGGCAGAUGAUGUCCGUGUCACAUUCAUCCUUCACGCGACCAGGCUGUAGAGUACGGACUCUUUCAGCGCUCGUUAAGUAAGUACUUACUGAAAUGAAGUACCUACUCUUUGAGUAUGCGGUCUCGGACGCAGCCGGUUUAGUACCACACACCUGUCUGUAAUCACGAAUCAUAAGAUGCAUGCUCAUCCCUAUGCCCUAAUCCCUUCAAAGGGGUUACCCACCGGAGUGAGAGCUUCGAAGGGUGUAGGGGACCAAACAACUGUUUCUUGAAGUGCCCUUCUGCGUCAUCAUCACGCGACCACACGGAAGCAAAGUAUCAUGGGAGCCCGAAGUGUCCAUCAGUUGUACCCUUCAAAUAUCCCGUUUGGAACGCACCGCAGGACAGAUGUCCCACUUCCGUCCUCAAUGCUGAUUUCCGGUCCAUCACACGUCACGUUCACAUGUUGUCCACAUGAUGUCGCCAUAACACCAUGAGAGCGUUUUGUGUUUUUGUGUCAAUUACGGCAAAAACAAAAAUUAAGGACCGGUGUAGGGCCUCUGACACCGCAACCCAACAGACCCUCCGGUCCACCCUCUCUGACAGGAGCACCGCAGGAACGGGACUUCAGUCUCAACGCACGGCCAGAUCUUUCCAGGUCUCAUGGAGAGGAGGGCUGUCUGCGAAACACUGGGGUUCCUCAAGGUUCUGUGCUCGCUCCUCUCCUCUUCUCCAUUUACACAACUUCACUGGGAAGGACGGCCUAGUCACGCACUUAUGAAUAUCAUUGCUUUCAUGAGAGACUGUUUGUGAUGCACUGCAUGUGUAAGUCACUUUGCAAAAUGCUUCUGCUAAAUUUACAGUGUAGGGAUAAGAUGAUGUUGUGAAAAGGUACACUCAUAUAGUCAUUCAACACCUCAAAUAAGCCAGACUGGUGGAAAGUGAAUUUUGGGGCCUGUCCUGUACAUGGUUUGUCAUAUUUUAGUAACUUACA
Long non-coding RNA from Cyprinus carpio carpio, 1169 nucleotides. NCBI's taxonomy places the organism in Eukaryota, Metazoa, Chordata, Actinopteri, Cypriniformes, Cyprinidae. The record is from Ensembl.